RNAcentral lists this transfer RNA (72 nucleotides) under Heterocephalus glaber (naked mole-rat). It matches the Rfam family "tRNA". Rfam says of the family: Transfer RNA (tRNA) molecules are approximately 80 nucleotides in length. Their secondary structure includes four short double-helical elements and three loops (D, anti-codon, and T loops). Lineage: Eukaryota; Metazoa; Chordata; Mammalia; Rodentia; Bathyergidae. The record is from Rfam by way of RNAcentral.
AGGGAUGUAGCUCAGUGGUACAGCACCGGCCUGGCAAGCAUGAGGUCCUGAGUUUGAUUCCUGGUACCCCCU